AUGCUCUUAAGACUACAAGAUAAGUAAAGCUAUAAAAUGACUGUGGCCUGCCACAGAAGAUGAAGAUGAGGAAGAAGAGGAAUGCUCUUGAGGAUAAAUGCAGAGUGGCAGGCUACCUUCGGUCCUUCAUUGAAAAUGCAUCUUGUGCACAACGAAAAGCCCUCAUCAAGUUUUGGACAGGAUGGGAAGUCUUGCCGAGAGAAAUGACUGUGGAAGUGGUCAACAGCAGUCUUCCACCUGUUUUGAAGUACUACGUCUUCCUGCACACUACUGUACCUAUGAGUCAUUUGUAAUGGACAUUCAGGUGUGUCUCAACUCUACUGACUCAGAUUUUGGUCUGGUUUAGGAUUGAUUCUAUAACCACAUGGUAAGAUUAGACCAUUUCUUCUUUCUUGCAUCACAUUACUGUAUUCAGUGUUCAAAGAAAUGGACAAUCUAGUGAGUUCUAGUUCCUUUUAAUACACUUGACAGUGAAAAAUGCACAGUACAGGUGAGCAUUUAUGGCUUUUUUUAAUAUAAACUGACAGAGUUCAGAUAUCAAAAUCAGUUGUUCACUGUAUAUUAUAAAUUACACAGUAUGUUUUGUUUAUACUCGCUACUGGUACAAAACAAUUUUGUAGAAAAAAUUAUUUGAAUUAAGAUGUUACACUACUGUACUGUCUGCAUUGUAUUAAAUCUGCUCAGAGUUGACAUGUACUGUACAUCCAACCAAGAAAUGAAUAUCAUUAAAGUGACAGCUGUAUAAAACAAAUCCUGCUUUAUAGCCACUCACUGUUUUUUUUUUUUUUAAUGAAAUUGGUUAUGCUGUUUUGAGUCAGUAUUAGCUACAAAGCCAUAGAUGUAGAAAUUAAAAAAAAAAAUCCUCCUGACAUGGAAACUGAUUAAAUGUGAUAGUGUCUUUCUACAAGUGAUUUUGAAGUAUGGUUAUGCAAGAAAUAUGGUGUGAACAUAUUGCACCUGUUUACUUUGAAGAGUUAAGGUGUGUUAUCAAACAUAAGUUUGAGUGACUGAACAGUUUCACAGUAGGCAUCCAAAGCUUGACUGAGUGAAACGUUGUUGUUUGGUAGCACAGCAGGGUCUCGUUCAUUCAGUGCACGUGGGAGCUGAAUCUCAGGAAUGGUGAUCUCAUUUGAUGGGCGGUGAUUAUGUGGUCCUGUCCAGUCCACACCAUAAUCCUCAUCAACCUGAAAGAGCAUGCACAUGUGUUAAAUCUAAACUGAAGAAGUGUUUCCUGCAGCUGUUCCUAGAUGGACUUAUUGAGUCUGCCAGGGCCUAUGUGAGUUUCUUAGGCAUUGGCUACACUUGUGUCCAGUUUUACUAAACAGGUGGCGUGUGAGAGGCCCAAGGAGAAAGGAGAGGUUCCUGACGCGAAGGCGCUGUGGCUGAAGGUCAUUAAACGCAAGUGGAAGGAGCCCCGGUGGACCGGCCCAUACGAGGUGACGGCCCGGUGCACAAGGGAGAGGAUUUAUUCUGCCCCUUACUACCAACUAAUUAUUCAUUCACCCAUUCUAGGUCAGGAUUGGUUCUCUUCAGGUAUAACAAAUUUAACUUUGUUUAAAGUAUUGCCAUCUAUACCUGACAGAUGGGAUAAAAGGAGAGAAUGGCUUGGGAGACAUUUCCACUUACAGGAAAAAAAAUUUUGGUACACCAACUUGCACAGUAGAAAUAAACUCAUCUCCACUACAGAUAGCAGAGUUUUACAUACAAGAACAAAUAUGGAUCAAAUAGUCAUGUACCUGUGACAAAUCUUGUCCCUCCUUUCUGUGCAGCAACCAGAGGUGCAGGGGUGAAUGGUUGUUUGCUUUUCUGAGUCCGUGCUGAUUCCAUGCUUCCUGGAAUGACUGAAGAUGAUGUUGAAUGUGAUGCAAAAAGCAUCUGUGCAGAGCAAACAAGUGAAUUUUUUCACCAGGGUUGAGCAGUCCUUGAAUCUCCAGCUGGGUGAAGAUGUUUUCAUAUACAUCCCUCCACAGGCGCUCAAUGCUGAUUUCCAUCUAUAUGCCAAAGGUGAUUUGCUGCUGGUACACUGUACUGAAAACGCCUUGCAGUCUUAAUAGAUAACCGUUGCAUCUUGACCCCUUCUGGAUUGACUCGUCUCAUUGAAUCCAUCAGUCGAAAUCCUGAUUAACAAACAGAUCAUGUCUUAGGACUAACAACUACAAAAAGACUGUAUUGUAAACACUAAUGCAUAUGGGACAGAUCAUCAUUGUGUCAGGUAAGUAUCCAGGUGCUGUACAGAUUUAGUGAGGAGAGAGAAUUGUUUACAAACAGGAACAUAACUGCAUAACAGUGAUGAGAACAUGCUAGUCAUUUUUGAUGGAAACAUUAAAAUAUCAGAUCAAGGCCACACUGACAUGCUUUCCAAGCUGGAAACUGGUGUUUGGAUAUUUUAACAAUAUCAGCUUACUUUGAAUGUAUAUGCCUCUGGAUCGUAGAUGUCCCAUCAUCAUUCUGCAGUCGGCAUUUGGGUGAUGACGCUGAAUGUCCAGCACUUUUGAAUCCAAAUCCACAUCUCCAAUAGAAGAAUUCCUAUCAGAUUUUCUGCACAUAAAACAUUUUUUUCAUAUAACAGCAAAUCUCAACAAAGUUUUCCAAUUAAUACUGAAAGAACCAAGGAUGUAAAUGUAUUCUUGUUUUAGCUUUACUGAAGACACCAGAGAAAGUAUGAUAUUUAAAACGCUGCUGAAAUAGACAAACCCAUUUCAAUAAACUCGCUAUUUAACAUCAACUUUGUUAUGCGUUAUCAGAGAACAAUCAACUGCAAACAGCAAUGAAACAUUCAACUAUGUACUAUUUAAAGCACUAAUGACCCUGUUGUCUAACAAGAUGUGGUAAGUAAGUAGACUGUGGAAAGCUGCUGGGUCUACUCUCCGUAUAAAAGGUUCCUACAGGUUCCACUGCCCCCAGUCUCUGAGUUAACACACUCUAACAGCUAACACUACGCCGGCUAAACGUGUCUCAACGCCGAGAUGGCGCCGAUAGCUUUAGCCGUAGCUGCCCCACUUGGUUUAGACAGUAAAAAAAAAAAAACUAAGCGAUAAUAUUUCAUUGUCAAACGUCAUAAUCAAGGUCAACAUCUAAACAAUGCUGUGUACAGAAUCACACAGGUGUUCAAUUAGCAUAAACUUACCUUCCGCCGUCAUUUUCCUCCUAAUUGUGCUCGAAGACACAGAAAACAUAUCGGCAAUUACCCCGAUGGUUAUCCCGGACAGCACUAAAGUCCUGAGUGCUGCAGCCGAGAUUUCAAGACGUGGACGACCAAUAUUUGAAGACUGUUCUUCCUCGGCGUAUUCCAAACGAACACGGUGCUGAAUUGAUCUUAAACCUUCGACAAUGUUGUCAUCGAUGCAAACAUCUUCAAGAGCAAUUAUCAUCCCAAGCAUUUCAGAAACGUCAUCUAAACGACUCAAAACAGUAUCUACUGGUAAAUGAUCCCUCUCUAUCUGAUUUGCUGAAAUGAGCAGAACUGACUGAAGUUCACACCAAUCCGCCAUCCUCCGUGACUUUUGACCUAGCACGCUGUUGCUAGCUGUAGCAGCCGUCCGCCGAGCAGGUAUCCAGGAAAACUAGUUGAUGGUAAACGAUAAGCCAAUAGGCGCAAAGGUCCAACCCACUUACAUUGAUUGACAGACAAAGUCAUUCUGCUGAAAAGUCGCAUUAUGACAUAAAUAGACGAUCGGGAAAAACGGGAUUUUGAAAUAAAGACUGACUUUGAAAAAAGGACAUUUUGGAAUAAAAACGGCUGGAAAUAAAUAAAAUGCCUCAGGAAUAAUCUCUGUUAUUGUGAAAAAUAAUGACCAUGAAAUAAUAUUUCACAAUAAUAAGUAAAUUUAUAUAGCAGA
Molecule: long non-coding RNA, 3839 nt
Organism: Oreochromis niloticus (Nile tilapia)
Lineage: Eukaryota; Metazoa; Chordata; Actinopteri; Cichliformes; Cichlidae
Source: Ensembl